RNAcentral lists this long non-coding RNA (270 nucleotides) under Gossypium raimondii (Peruvian cotton). RNAcentral describes it as "long non-coding RNA (GRAI_LNC004478)". The record is from RNAcentral. Lineage: Eukaryota; Viridiplantae; Streptophyta; Magnoliopsida; Malvales; Malvaceae.
UUUUUUUCUUUUUCCCCUUUUUUUGUUUUUUGUUUUUUUUUUGUUUUCUCUCUAUUUUUUUUUAGAUUGAAUCUGCACUUAUAGGAUUAGGCAAGUCCUGGUCAUCUCUUUCGAUCAGAAUCAAUAUUAUUUCAUAUAAGGUCUUCCCCAUAACUUCCACUUUCAUUUUGUAUUCGAAAGAUCUUCUUUGGCAUCAGGUUUCUCUCAUAGAGCCUUUUGGGGCGAAAUUUAACUAUGACGAGAAAAUUUUAGAUCUUCCUCUUCAAUUAG